AAUGAACGCUGGCGGCGUGCUUAACACAUGCAAGUCGAACGAGAAAGUGGACUUCGGUCCGCGAGUAAAGUGGCGCACGGGUGAGUAACGCGUGAAUAAUCUACCCCCGAAUUUGGGAUAACAGUUCGAAAGGGCUGCUAAUACCGGAUGACAUUGUCUUUUUUACGGAUUAGACGAUCAAAGAGGGCCUCUCCUUGGAAGCUUUUGUUUGGGGAUGAGUUCGCGUACCAUUAGCUUGUUGGUGGGGUAAUGGCCUACCAAGGCUGCGAUGGUUAGCUGGUUUGAGAGAAUGAUCAGCCACACUGGAACUGACACACGGUCCAG
Molecule: ribosomal RNA, 324 nt
Filed under: uncultured Desulfofrigus sp.
Lineage: Bacteria; Pseudomonadati; Thermodesulfobacteriota; Desulfobacteria; Desulfobacterales; Desulfobacteraceae
Description: bacterial SSU rRNA
Rfam family: Bacterial small subunit ribosomal RNA
Source: RNAcentral